AAUUGAUUGAUGGUGCUUGCACCUGAUUGAUUUUGGUCGCCAACGAGUGGCGGACGGGUGAGUAACACGUAGGUAACCUGCCCAGAAGCGGGGGACAACAUUUGGAAACAGAUGCUAAUACCGCAUAACAGCGUUGUUCGCAUGAACAACGCUUAAAAGAUGGCUUCUCGCUAUCACUUCUGGAUGGACCUGCGGUGCAUUAGCUUGUUGGUGGGGUAAUGGCCUACCAAGGCGAUGAUGCAUAGCCGAGUUGAGAGACUGAUCGGCCACAAUGGGACUGAGACACGGCCCAUACUCCUACGGGAGGCAGCAGUAGGGAAUCUUCCACAAUGGGCGCAAGCCUGAUGGAGCAACACCGCGUGAGUGAAGAAGGGUUUCGGCUCGUAAAGCUCUGUUGUUAAAGAAGAACACGUAUGAGAGUAACUGUUCAUACGUUGACGGUAUUUAACCAGAAAGUCACGGCUAACUACGUGCCAGCAGCCGCGGUAAUACGUAGGUGGCAAGCGUUAUCCGGAUUUAUUGGGCGUAGAGAGAGUGCAGGCGGUUUUCUAAGUCUGAUGUGAGAGCCUUCGGCUUAACCGGAGAAGUGCAUCGGAAACUGGAUAACUUGAGUGCAGAAGAGGGUAGUGGAACUCCAUGUGUAGCGGUGGAAUGCGUAGAUAUAUGGAAGAACACCAGUGGCGAAGGCGGCUACCUGGUCUGCAACUGACGCUGAGACUCGAAAGCAUGGGUAGCGAACAGGAUUAGAUACCCUGGUAGUCCAUGCCGUAAACGAUGAGUGCUAGGUGUU
RNAcentral lists this ribosomal RNA (790 nucleotides) under Limosilactobacillus fermentum. Its description in RNAcentral is "bacterial SSU rRNA". It matches the Rfam family "Bacterial small subunit ribosomal RNA", at positions 60 to 824 of the family's 1533-position model. The record is from RNAcentral. Lineage: Bacteria; Bacillati; Bacillota; Bacilli; Lactobacillales; Lactobacillaceae.